Molecule: unclassified non-coding RNA, 363 nt
Filed under: uncultured bacterium
Lineage: Bacteria
Description: contains 16S-23S intergenic spacer region
Source: RNAcentral
UCCCUGUUACCAGGGCAGUCUAGCUAGAGAAAUUCAACUAACUAUAAGGGUUGCGCUCGUUAAAGGACUUAACCUAACAUCUCACGACACGAGCUGACGACGGCCAUGCAUCACCUGUCACUGUAUUCCCGAAGGCACUCUCUACUUUCGUAGAAAUUCACAGGAUGUCAAACCUGGGUAAGGUUCUUCGCUUAGCAUCGAAUUAAACAACACGCUCCACCGCUUGUGCGGGUCCCCGUCAAUUCCUUUAUGUUUUAGUCUUGCGACCGUACUCCACAGGCGGGAUACUUAACGCGUUAGCUUCGCUACUAGAAGGGUCGAUACUUCUAACAGCUAGUAUCCAUAGUUUACGGCGUGGACUAC